GAUUAACGCUGGCGGCGUGCCUAACACAUGCAAGUCGAGCGGCAGCGAGUUUUACACUGAAUUCUGGAAGCUUCUAGUUGAAAGAGAAGAUUUAUUCAAGAAUUUUUUGUAAAAUGUCGGCGAGCGGCGGACGGCUGAGUAACGCGUGGGAACGUACCCCAAAGUGAGGGAUAACGCAUCGAAAGGUGUGCUAAUACCGCAUAUGGUCUUCGGAUUAAAGCCUUCGGGCGCUUUGGGAACGGCCUGCGUAAGAUUAGAUAGUUGGUGGGGUAAUGGCCUACCAAGUCGACGAUCUUUAACUGGUUUGAGAGGAUGAUCAGUCAGACUGGAACUGAGACACGGUCCAGACUCCUACGGGAGGCAGCAGUGAGGAAUCUUCCAAAAUGGGCGAAAGAAUGAUGGAGCAACGCCGCGUGCAGGAUGAAGGCCUUCGGGUUGUAAACUGCUUUUAUAAGUGAGGAUUAUGACAGUAACUUAUGAAUAAGGAUCGGCUAACUACGUG
RNAcentral lists this ribosomal RNA (502 nucleotides) under uncultured bacterium. RNAcentral's name for it is "partial 16S ribosomal RNA". It matches the Rfam family "Bacterial small subunit ribosomal RNA", at positions 28 to 507 of the family's 1533-position model. The record is from RNAcentral.